AUCCAGGUGACGAGUCCAAAAUAGGACGAAAUGCGUAUCCUGGAU
RNAcentral lists this non-coding RNA (45 nucleotides) under Trichobilharzia regenti. Lineage: Eukaryota; Metazoa; Platyhelminthes; Trematoda; Strigeidida; Schistosomatidae. The record is from RNAcentral.